GGGAUUGCCCUAGUAACGGCGAGUGAAGCGGCAACAGCUCAAAUUUGAAAUCUGGCCCUAGGCCCGAGUUGUAAUUUGCAGAGGAUGCUUUUGGUGACGCGCCUACCGAGUCCCCUGGAAUGGGGCGCCACAGAGGGUGAGAGCCCCGUAUGGUUUGACGCCGAGCCUCUGUAAAGCUCCUUCGACGAGUCGAGUAGUUUGGGAAUGCUGCUCUAAAUGGGAGGUAAAUUUCUUCUAAAGCUAAAUACCGGCCAGAGACCGAUAGCGCACAAGUAGAGUGAUCGAAAGAUGAAAAGCACUUUGAAAAGAGGGUUAAAUAGCACGUGAAAUUGUUGAAAGGGAAGCGCUUGUGACCAGACUUGCGCCGGGCGGAUCAUCCAGCGUUCUCGCUGGUGCACUCCGCCCGGCUCAGGCCAGCAUCGGUUUUCGCCGGGGGACAAAGGCUUCGGGAACGUGGCUCCCUUCGGGGAGUGUUAUAGCCCGUUGCGUAAUACCCCGGCGGGGACCGAGGACCGCGCUUCGGCAAGGAUGCUGGCGUAAUGGUCAUCAGCGACCCGUCUUGAAACACGGACCGAGGAGUCAAGCAUUAGUGCGAGUGUUUGGGUGUAAAACCCGCACGCGUAAUGAAAGUGAACGUAGGUGAGAGCUUCGGCGCAUCAUCGACCGAUCCUGAUGUUUUCGGAUGGAUUUGAGUAGGAGCAUUAACGCUUGGACCCGAAAGAUGGUGAACUAUACUUGAAUAGGGUGAAGCCAGAGGAAACUCUGGUGGAGGCUCGCAGCGGUUCUGACGUGCAAAUCGAUCGUCAAAUUUG
This 812-nucleotide ribosomal RNA is filed under the name Omnidemptus sp. RNAcentral's name for it is "partial large subunit ribosomal RNA". It matches the Rfam family "Eukaryotic large subunit ribosomal RNA", at positions 71 to 913 of the family's 3401-position model. Lineage: Eukaryota; Fungi; Ascomycota; Sordariomycetes; Magnaporthales; Magnaporthaceae. The record is from RNAcentral.